This 253-nucleotide ribosomal RNA is filed under the name uncultured bacterium. RNAcentral's name for it is "partial 16S ribosomal RNA". It matches the Rfam family "Bacterial small subunit ribosomal RNA", at positions 524 to 776 of the family's 1533-position model. The record is from RNAcentral.
UACGUAGGGGGCUAGCGUUGUCCGGAAUCAUUGGGCGUAAAGAGCGUGUAGGCGGUCCGGUAAGUCCGCUGUGAAAGUCGGGGGCUCAACCCUCGAAUGCCGGUGGAUACUGUCGGGCUAGAGUGCGGAAGAGGCGAGUGGAAUUCCUGGUGUAGCGGUGAAAUGCGCAGAUAUCAGGAGGAACACCUAUUGCGAAGGCAGCUCGCUGGGACGGUACUGACGCUGAGACGCGAAAGCGUGGGGAGCGAACAGG